This 206-nucleotide ribosomal RNA is filed under the name uncultured bacterium. RNAcentral's name for it is "partial 16S ribosomal RNA". It matches the Rfam family "Bacterial small subunit ribosomal RNA", at positions 568 to 774 of the family's 1533-position model. The record is from RNAcentral.
AGCGCAGGUGGGAAUGUAAGUCAAUCUUAAAAGUGCGGGGCUCAACCCCGUGAUGGGAUAGAAACUACAUUUCUUGAGCGCAGGAGAGGAAAGUGGAAUUCCUAGUGUAGCGGUGAAAUGCGUAGAUAUUAGGAGGAACACCAGUGGCGAAGGCGACUUUCUGGACUGUUACUGACACUGAGGCUCGAAAGCUAGGGGAGCGAACG